Xenopus laevis (African clawed frog) is the source of this 799-nucleotide long non-coding RNA. RefSeq lists it as uncharacterized. The record is from RefSeq and is a predicted model, not a curated record. Lineage: Eukaryota; Metazoa; Chordata; Amphibia; Anura; Pipidae. The transcript is spliced from 5 exons.
CGGGGCUGCUUAGUAUGACCGGUUGCUAGCGGCAACAUCUUUGCGAAUAUGUUUUUAUGCAAAUGUUUUCUCCAAACUGAAAACGUUAUUAUAUGUGUAAUUAGCACGACUGCUGGAAAGUGUAUAUUGUUUGACGUUGUGUCUGUCCUGCAUCAACAACAGCUGUAAUCCUAUGAGUUCCCAUUUCCAAGAAAGUGAAAGUAAAACUGGAGUGAGUAAGAAGGAGGUCCUAUUCCCAAAAGCCUAAUACCAAUUUAGCAAAUAAGUUAGGUGGCUAUCUGGGAAUUAGUGAUGUACGGACAGACCCCUUCCUGCACUGCAGCCUCCAGGAACACGACAUGUGCGCAAGAGACACGCCGUACAUGUUUGUGUCUGUCCUGCAUCAACAACAGCUGUAAUCCUAUGAGUUCCCAUUUCCAAGAAAGUGAAAGUAAAACUGGAGUGAGUAAGAAGGAGGUCCUAUUCCCAAAAGCCUAAUACCAAUUUAGCAAAUAAGUUAGGUGGCUAUCUGGGAAUUAGUGAUGUACGGACAGACCCCUUCCUGCACUGCAGCCUCCAGGAACACGACAUGUGCGCAAGAGACACGCCGUACAUGUGUGGGUUUUUUCCCGGUAUACCACUGGCCCAGUCUAACCCUGCCCCUGACCAUAUACUGGCAGUUUUACAGGCGCGUACCUGCCUGCCCCUUUUGUGAUGUCAUUGGUGGGGCGGGUCAGCACUGGUCUAUAAAAUAGGGAUGCACUGAAUCCAGGAUUCAGUUCGGGAUUCGGCCUUUUUCAGCAGAAUUCAGCCCUAUCUU